RNAcentral lists this ribosomal RNA (406 nucleotides) under uncultured bacterium. RNAcentral describes it as "bacterial SSU rRNA". It matches the Rfam family "Bacterial small subunit ribosomal RNA", at positions 355 to 776 of the family's 1533-position model. The record is from RNAcentral.
UGAGGAAUUUUCUACAAUGGACGAAAGUCUGAUAGAGCAAUACCGCGUGUAGGAUGAAGGCCUACGGGUUGUAAACUACUUUUCUCAAGGAGAAAGAAAUGAUGUUACUUGAGGAAUAAGCAUCGGCUAAUUCUGUGCCAGCAGCCGCGGUAAUACAGAAGAUGCAAGUGUUAUUCGGAUUCAUUGGGCGUAAAGCGUCUGCAGGUGGAUAUCUAAGUCUUUUGUUAAAACUUUAGGCUCAACCUAAAAUCUGCAAAAGAAACUGGAUAUCUGGAGUAGGGGAGAGGUAAAGGGAAUUUCCGGUGGAGCGGUGAAAUGCGUAGAUAUCGGAAAGAACACCAAUUGCGAAGGCACUUUACUGGAACCGCACUGACACUCAGAGACGAAAGCUAAGGGAGCAAACAGG